GUGCUGCGGGGCGACCAUGGCUGUAGACUGUUACCUCCGGUUCCCACAGUAACAAUCGAAAGCCACGGUUGCCCUGGAGACGCG
This 84-nucleotide microRNA precursor is filed under the name Cricetulus griseus (Chinese hamster). Its description in RNAcentral is "mir-132". Lineage: Eukaryota; Metazoa; Chordata; Mammalia; Rodentia; Cricetidae. The record is from RNAcentral.